GACGAACGCUGGCGGCGUGCCUAAUACAUGCAAGUAGAACGCUGAAGAGAGGAGCUUGCUCUUCUUGGAUGAGUUGCGAACGGGUGAGUAACGCGUAGGUAACCUGCCUUGUAGCGGGGGAUAACUAUUGGAAACGAUAGCUAAUACCGCAUAACAAUGGAUGACACAUGUCAUUUAUUUGAAAGGGGCAAUUGCUCCACUACAAAAUGGACCUGCGUUGUAUUAGCUAGUAGGUGAGGUAAUGGCUCACCUAGGCGACGAUACAUAGCCGACCUGAGAGGGUGAUCGGCCACACUGGGACUGAGACACGGCCCAGACUCCUACGGGAGGCAGCAGUAGGGAAUCUUCGGCAAUGGGGGCAACCCUGACCGAGCAACGCCGCGUGAGUGAAGAAGGUUUUCGGAUCGUAAAGCUCUGUUGUAAGUCAAGAACGGGUGUGAGAGUGGAAAGUUCACACUGUGACGGUAGCUUACCAGAAAGGGACGGCUAACUACGUG
Molecule: ribosomal RNA, 497 nt
Filed under: uncultured bacterium
Lineage: Bacteria
Description: partial 16S ribosomal RNA
Rfam family: Bacterial small subunit ribosomal RNA
Source: RNAcentral